GGCCUGGUGGUGUAGUGGUAACAUACUCUCUUAUCUUAAGCGAUUGGUAUUCUGUUUCUGAGGGAGCCCCUUGUUCGAAUCAAGGCUAGGCCA
Molecule: non-coding RNA, 93 nt
Organism: Mycena polygramma
Lineage: Eukaryota; Fungi; Basidiomycota; Agaricomycetes; Agaricales; Mycenaceae
Source: the annotation of a GenBank genome assembly